Molecule: long non-coding RNA, 1024 nt
Organism: Carassius gibelio (silver crucian carp)
Lineage: Eukaryota; Metazoa; Chordata; Actinopteri; Cypriniformes; Cyprinidae
Exons: 3
Source: RefSeq, a predicted model, not a curated record
UUUCUUCACUGUCCGAGGCCUCUUGUGCAGAUCUAGCUGCCUCAGUUUAAACAAAUAUGAAAUGCUUUUUUGACCCUCUCGGGUGACCAGCAGAUUCUAAGAGAGGAAAGUGGAAGAGAUUGAAGCAGGAAGAAAGGCUUGAAUAAAGAAGAUAGAUCGUGUGAAGUGAGAGUAUACCCUACACACAGCUUCAAUGGAGGGACUGAGAGCUCUCGGACUAAAUCUAAAAUAUCUUAAACUGUAUUCCAAAGAUAAACGGAGGUCUUACGGGUUUGAAACAACAUUAGGAGUCACCAUGGGUUUUGUGAUGUUAUUUGCCGUGAAUGCAGGAUUGCUGUAACAUUGUGUGAUAGUAGUGACUGUUUGUAGUCGCGGUGGGCCUGUUUGGAAGAAAAUCCAGGGUUUUUUUAAUCCCAGUCCGUCCCUGCUCAGAUUCCAGAUUUUCAAAUAGCUGUAUCCCGGCCAAAUAUUGUCUAAUCCUAAUAAACCAUACAUCAGUGGAAUGCUUAUUUAUUUAGCUUUCAGAUGAUGUAUAAAUCUCAGUUUUGAAAAAUUGUCACAUAUAUAAUGAUUUUAUUCAUUUGUACAUUCACAGGGUAGAUGAGUUAGUUUACAAUAAAUAUAAAAUCCUCAUUGCAAAAUGUGUAUAUGUAUAUAUUUUAAUAUGUAUAUGAUGAUUUUUUUAUUGUAUGCAACUUCUUUAAAAUAACAUAUGGAAAUCUGUAUGUUUAUAUAUGUUUUUGUAAUAUAUAUUUUUAAAUACAUGUGUAUAUUUUAUAUAUAGUUAUAUAAUAUCAACAUGUACUGAUGGGUUUCUACAUGUACAUGAUAUAAGAGCAAAUGUAUUUGUACAGACUAGAUUUGGUUUAUGUGUCUAUGACGAUAUUUCAAAUGUGGAAAUUUAAUCUGUGUUUUUACAUUUAAUGUGGUGACCUGACAUACUUCUGUCCCCAACUAUAAAUGAAAAGCUAGAUUUACUACAUGUAUUAUCAUUUAUUCAAUUAGUGUCAAAUGACAACCUAGU